Molecule: ribosomal RNA, 446 nt
Filed under: uncultured bacterium
Lineage: Bacteria
Description: SSU rRNA
Rfam family: Bacterial small subunit ribosomal RNA
Source: RNAcentral
AGAGCGAACGCUGGCGGCAGGCUUAACACAUGCAAGUCGAGCGGGCGUAGCAAUACGUCAGCGGCAGACGGGUGAGUAACGCGUGGGAACGUACCUUUUGGUUCGGAACAACACAGGGAAACUUGUGCUAAUACCGGAUAAGCCCUUACGGGGAAAGAUUUAUCGCCGAAAGAUCGGCCCGCGUCUGAUUAGCUAGUUGGUGAGGUAACGGCUCACCAAGGCGACGAUCAGUAGCUGGUCUGAGAGGAUGAUCAGCCACAUUGGGACUGAGACACGGCCCAAACUCCUACGGGAGGCAGCAGUGGGAAUAUUGGACAAUGGGCGCAAGCCUGAUCCAGCCAUGCCGCGUGAGUGAUGAAGGCCCUAGGGUUGUAAAGCUCUUUUGUGCGGGAAGAUAAUGACGGUACCGCAAGAAUAAGCCCGGCUAACUUCGCGCCAGCAGCCGC